This 294-nucleotide unclassified non-coding RNA is filed under the name Hevea brasiliensis (rubber tree). Lineage: Eukaryota; Viridiplantae; Streptophyta; Magnoliopsida; Malpighiales; Euphorbiaceae. The record is from RNAcentral.
CAGGAGGAGCAGAAGUCUACUUCUGUAAGAGAUAAGUUGAAUGUUGCAGUUAGAAAAGGAAAGUCUUUGAUUCAACAACGUGAUAGUCUGAAACAAACUAUUAAAGAGAUGAGUACCGAGUUGGAGCACUUGAAAUCUGAGAUCAAGCACCGGGAAAAUUCUCUUGCAGAAUAUGAAUUGAAAAUGAGAGACUUAAUUACUUUCUCUGAUAAGGUGGAAGCCCUUGAAUCUGAGAGUUUGUUCUUGAGGAAUCGUUUGGCUGAAAGUGAGCGCAUUUUGCAGGAGAAAGAACAU